This 1420-nucleotide ribosomal RNA is filed under the name Chinaberry witches'-broom phytoplasma. RNAcentral describes it as "bacterial SSU rRNA". It matches the Rfam family "Bacterial small subunit ribosomal RNA". The record is from RNAcentral. Lineage: Bacteria; Bacillati; Mycoplasmatota; Mollicutes; Acholeplasmatales; Acholeplasmataceae.
ACGGAAGUUUAAGCAAUUAAACUUUAGUGGCGAACGGGUGAGUAACGCGUAAGCAAUCUGCCCCUAAGACGAGGAUAACAGUUGGAAACGACUGCUAAGACUGGAUAGGAGACAAGAAGGCAUCUUCUUGUUUUUAAAAGACCUAGCAAUAGGUAUGCUUAGGGAGGAGCUUGCGUCACAUUAGUUAGUUGGUGGGGUAAAGGCCUACCAAGACUAUGAUGUGUAGCCGGGCUGAGAGGUUGAACGGCCACAUUGGGACUGAGACACGGCCCAAACUCCUACGGGAGGCAGCAGUAGGGAAUUUUCGGCAAUGGAGGAAACUCUGACCGAGCAACGCCGCGUGAACGAUGAAGUAUUUCGGUACGUAAAGUUCUUUUAUUAGGGAAGAAUAAAUGAUGGAAAAAUCAUUCUGACGGUACCUAAUGAAUAAGCCCCGGCUAACUAUGUGCCAGCAGCCGCGGUAAUACAUAGGGGGCAAGCGUUAUCCGGAAUUAUUGGGCGUAAAGGGUGCGUAGGCGGUUAAAUAAGUUUAUGGUCUAAGUGCAAUGCUCAACAUUGUGAUGCUAUAAAAACUGUUUAGCUAGAGUAAGAUAGAGGCAAGUGGAAUUCCAUGUGUAGUGGUAAAAUGCGUAAAUAUAUGGAGGAACACCAGUAGCGAAGGCGGCUUGCUGGGUCUUUACUGACGCUGAGGCACGAAAGCGUGGGGAGCAAACAGGAUUAGAUACCCUGGUAGUCCACGCCGUAAACGAUGAGUACUAAACGUUGGGUAAAACCAGUGUUGAAGUUAACACAUUAAGUACUCCGCCUGAGUAGUACGUACGCAAGUAUGAAACUUAAAGGAAUUGACGGGACUCCGCACAAGCGGUGGAUCAUGUUGUUUAAUUCGAAGGUACCCGAAAAACCUCACCAGGUCUUGACAUGCUUCUGCAAAGCUGUAGAAACACAGUGGAGGUUAUCAGUUGCACAGGUGGUGCAUGGUUGUCGUCAGCUCGUGUCGUGAGAUGUUGGGUUAAGUCCCGCAACGAGCGCAACCCUUAUUGUUAGUUACCAGCACGUAAUGGUGGGGACUUUAGCAAGACUGCCAGUGAUAAAUUGGAGGAAGGUGGGGACGACGUCAAAUCAUCAUGCCCCUUAUGACCUGGGCUACAAACGUGAUACAAUGGCUGUUACAAAGGGUAGCUGAAGCGCAAGUUUUUGGCGAAUCUCAAAAAAACAGUCUCAGUUCGGAUUGAAGUCUGCAACUCGACUUCAUGAAGUUGGAAUCGCUAGUAAUCGCGAAUCAGCAUGUCGCGGUGAAUACGUUCUCGGGGUUUGUACACACCGCCCGUCAAACCACGAAAGUUGGCAAUACCCAAAGCCGGUGGCCUAACUUCGCAAGAAGAGGGAACCGUCUAAGGUAGGGUCGAUGAUUGGGGUUAAG